UGUUUUGUUUUAUAUAGGCUCCUUGAAGUUCGUGGAAGGCUCUAUGAGCUUCUAACUCAUUGUAUUCCUCCUGAGAUAAUAAUGAAGGGCCUUCUUUCAGAGCUGUUACAUAAUUGUGAUGGACAACUGAAAGGGGAAGUGGCCCAGAUGGCAGCAUAUUACGAACAUCGUCUACAACUGGGUAGCAAAGCCAUUUAUCACUUGGAAGCAUUUGUGGCCAAAUUUAUGGCACUUUAUAAGAAGUUCAUGGAGGAUGGGUUGGAAGGCAUGAUGUUCUAACUUUUAUCAGUAAUUCUUCCAAAUAUUUCUAAGUAUUAGCAUUUAUAUACAGCUUGUAUUAGAAGAGCUGUGGGUAAAAUAAACUAACUUUACUUGAUCAUGUCUUA
Long non-coding RNA from Carlito syrichta (Philippine tarsier), 386 nucleotides. RefSeq lists it as uncharacterized. The transcript is spliced from 2 exons. Lineage: Eukaryota; Metazoa; Chordata; Mammalia; Primates; Tarsiidae. The record is from RefSeq and is a predicted model, not a curated record.